RNAcentral lists this ribosomal RNA (253 nucleotides) under uncultured bacterium. RNAcentral describes it as "partial 16S ribosomal RNA". It matches the Rfam family "Bacterial small subunit ribosomal RNA", at positions 524 to 776 of the family's 1533-position model. The record is from RNAcentral.
UACGUAAGUGGCGAGCGUUGUCCGGAAUUACUGGGCGUAAAGGGCAGGUAGGCGGCUCGGAAAGUCUGAGGUGAAAUCCCAGGGCUUAACCCUGGAACUGCCUUGGAAACUCCCGAGCUGGAGGUCCAGAGGGGGAAGUGGAAUUUCAGGUGUAGCGGUGAAAUGCGUAGAUAUCUGAGAGAACACCAAUGGCGAAGGCAGCUUCCUGGCUGGAACCUGACGCUGAACUGCGAAAGCUAGGGGAGCGAACGGG